UUGCUCAUUCAUAUUGUUUUCACCUUCAACAUCAUCAUCUUCAUCAGUCUGUUCUCUUGAUGAUGAUAUAUUUGCUGAGCUGACCAGAAUUCCAGCCCUUUUUUGCACACAAGGUGAGCAAGAAAUUCCUUUUGAAGAGGAUUGAGAUGUUAAGUGUGAGGCACCGGCUUGAGUGGAACUUGCACAAGAAUCUUGAGUCUUCAUAAAAGAUCCUCGACACAAGGCCACAGCCGCACACGCCAGAUUCAGCUUGCUUUUCAGAAACGCCUGAUACUCAUCGGAAUCCG
This 287-nucleotide unclassified non-coding RNA is filed under the name Hevea brasiliensis (rubber tree). The record is from RNAcentral. Lineage: Eukaryota; Viridiplantae; Streptophyta; Magnoliopsida; Malpighiales; Euphorbiaceae.